Lemur catta (Ring-tailed lemur) is the source of this 517-nucleotide long non-coding RNA. RefSeq lists it as uncharacterized. The record is from RefSeq and is a predicted model, not a curated record. NCBI's taxonomy places the organism in Eukaryota, Metazoa, Chordata, Mammalia, Primates, Lemuridae. The transcript is spliced from 5 exons.
UCUCUAGAACACAAGAAAAUUACAAAAAAAAAUUCUGAAAAGCAGCUGAUUAACUUGGACCUUCCAAGGGAAAAAUGCUUUCCUUUAAAAAGAUUCCCUGCCUGCCACGUGCUGCCAUCCUCAACCCCCAUGUGAAAAGACUGAGGGAAAGAGAAGUCACGUAACUUCAUAGCUACCUACUUGGGACUAAAGCAAAACAACCCAGAAGGAACGCUUUCUAAGAAUAAAGAAAAACGAAACAAAUGCCUCAUCUUGUCAUCCUGCUUCUGCCUCAAGACUUUAAGUAGUGGCAAAUCCAUUGCCUGGUGGAGCAACCUAGCUGUCUUUGGAUCAUGCUAAUUGAGACACAGAACUCCUUCUUAGCAUGUCACCUUCUAUGUAGUCCUAGAGUUAGUUGCCCUCUGGAGACACACAAGACAAGUCCAAUCUCUCUUCCAUGUGCAAGUCCUUUACUCAUUAGGAAACCACAACCAUGUGCCUUUUAAGACUGGCCUUAGGUCCCCAGGCUCCAACACCA